Molecule: ribosomal RNA, 464 nt
Filed under: Vreelandella stevensii
Lineage: Bacteria; Pseudomonadati; Pseudomonadota; Gammaproteobacteria; Oceanospirillales; Halomonadaceae
Description: partial 16S ribosomal RNA
Rfam family: Bacterial small subunit ribosomal RNA
Source: RNAcentral
CCUACGUGCGGCAGCAGUGGGGAAUAUUGGACAAUGGGCGAAAGCCUGAUCCAGCCAUGCCGCGUGUGUGAAGAAGGCCUUCGGGUUGUAAAGCACUUUCAGUGGGGAAGAAAGCCUUGGGGCUAAUACCCUCGAGGAAGGACAUCACCCACAGAAGAAGCACCGGCUAACUCCGUGCCAGCAGCCGCGGUAAUACGGAGGGUGCGAGCGUUAAUCGGAAUUACUGGGCGUAAAGCGCGCGUAGGCGGUCUGAUAAGCCGGUUGUGAAAGCCCCGGGCUCAACCUGGGAACGGCAUCCGGAACUGUCAGGCUAGAGUGCAGGAGAGGAAGGUAGAAUUCCCGGUGUAGCGGUGAAAUGCGUAGAGAUCGGGAGGAAUACCAGUGGCGAAGGCGGCCUUCUGGACUGACACUGACGCUGAGGUGCGAAAGCGUGGGUAGCAAACAGGAUUAGAUACCCUGGUAUC